UACGAAGGGGGCUAGCGUUGCUCGGAAUCACUGGGCGUAAAGCGCACGUAGGCGGCUUUCUAAGUCAGGGGUGAAAUCCUGGAGCUCAACUCCAGAACUGCCUUUGAUACUGGAGAGCUUGAGUCCGGGAGAGGUGAGUGGAACUCCGAGUGUAGAGGUGAAAUUCGUAGAUAUUCGGAAGAACACCAGUGGCGAAGGCGGCUCACUGGCCCGGUACUGACGCUGAUGUGCGAAAAGCGUGGGGAGCAAACAGG
RNAcentral lists this ribosomal RNA (254 nucleotides) under uncultured bacterium. RNAcentral's name for it is "partial 16S ribosomal RNA". It matches the Rfam family "Bacterial small subunit ribosomal RNA", at positions 524 to 776 of the family's 1533-position model. The record is from RNAcentral.